AGUAACAUCCGGAAACGGGUGGCUAAUACCGCAUAGUUUCUUGAUCGCAUGAUCGGAAAGGAAAGACGGCCUUUGUGCUGUCGCUUAUGGAUGGACCCGCGGCGUAUUAGUUAGUUGGUGAGGUAACGGCUCACCAAGACGAUGAUACGUAGCCGACCUGAGAGGGUGAUCGGCCACAUUGGGACUGAGACACGGCCCAAACUCCUACGGGAGGCAGCAGUAGGGAAUCUUCCGCAAUGGACGAAAGUCUGACGGAGCAACGCCGCGUGAGUGAAGAAAAGGGUUUUCGGAUCGUAAAACUCUGUUGUCAGAGAAGAACAAGUUGGAGAGUAACUGCUCCAGCCUUGACGGUAUCUGACCAGAAAGCCACGGCUAACUACGUGCCAGCCGCAGC
RNAcentral lists this ribosomal RNA (394 nucleotides) under uncultured bacterium. Its description in RNAcentral is "bacterial SSU rRNA". It matches the Rfam family "Bacterial small subunit ribosomal RNA", at positions 142 to 518 of the family's 1533-position model. The record is from RNAcentral.